Molecule: ribosomal RNA, 231 nt
Filed under: uncultured bacterium
Lineage: Bacteria
Description: partial 16S ribosomal RNA
Rfam family: Bacterial small subunit ribosomal RNA
Source: RNAcentral
GCAUGCCUACGGGACGCAGCAGUGGGGAAUAUUGCGCAAUGGGGGAAACCCUGACGCAGCAACGCCGCGUGCGGGAUGAAGGCUUUCGGGUUGUAAACCGCUUUCAGCAGGGAAGAUAAUGACGGUACCUGCAGAAGAAGCCCCGGCUAACUACGUGCCAGCAGCCGCGGUAAUACGUAGGGGGCAAGCGUUAUCCGGAUUCAUUGGGCGUAAAGCGCGCGCAGGCGGGCC